Molecule: non-coding RNA, 8240 nt
Organism: Danio rerio (zebrafish)
Lineage: Eukaryota; Metazoa; Chordata; Actinopteri; Cypriniformes; Danionidae
Source: RefSeq, a predicted model, not a curated record
CGACUGACACAAGGAAGCUUAUGACUCCACAAUAAUAUUACCAAAGUACAGGGAAACUGUAAGGAGCUCUGCCUGUUUAGAUGGGAUGGCAACUUUAACCAGCGAACGGAGAGCGUUUGCGCACAAAAUUAACAGGACGGUUGCGUCUGAGGUCAGAAAGCAAGUUUCCAGGGAAUAUGGCUCCCCACAGAUGUCCAAAAAACGUGCUGGAGCUCAUCAGCCGGUGCCUUUGACGGAGGUGGUGGAGCCGGUGGAUUAUGAGGAGUAUGUGAGCAGUCAUCCUCCUGGAGCAGAGCCUGGACCCCUCAGACAGCUGCUGGAGUUUCCCAGAGAUGACCUUGAGCUGGUUCUGCAGGAGAGAGAGUGUGUCACCAUAGAGCCACCUGUCCCAGAAGAGGAUUCGCUGGACCCCAGAGUGAGGGAUGCUUUGGGAGUCUACACUGAUGACUGGCUUAUCAUCCAGAGGAAGUAUCAGUGUUACAGCACUCUGCAGACACCUCAUAACUCUGAGCGGCAGCGUGAGAAGCAGAAAGGACUCGUCAAACAGACGUUUGAGCUGGAUGAGGCUGCUAUUGAGCGCCAGGAUGAGCAGGAUGACCCAAAGAGGCACUCGGUGUCGCUGGAUGACACUCCGCGGGGGAGCUGGGCUUCCAGUAUAUUUGACCUAAAAAACUCCAUUCCGGAUGCACUAUUGCCUUCAGUGCUUGAGCGCACUGCUGCUGAGGAGAUGGACAGACGCAACGCUGACAACCGCCAGCAGGGCCGCCACAACCAUCUCCUGGGACUCUAUCCUGCACCGGAUGAGGACGAGGCCGUCGAGAGGUGUGCCAUUCCAGAAGUGCCCAAGGAGCACAGCGGACAGAGGAUCAUGGUCAAGUGUUUGUCGCUCAAAUUCGAGAUUGAAAUCGAGCCAAUAUUUGGAUCACUGGCUCUGUAUGAUGUUAGAGAAAAGAAAAAGAUCUCUGAGGAUUUCCACUUUGACCUGAACUCAGAUCAGAUGAAGGGCUUGCUCCGACCACACAACCCCCAUGUAGCCAUCUCCACCCUGGCCCGAUCCGCCAUCUUCUCCAUUACAUACCCGUCUCCUGAAAUCUUCCUGGUCAUCAAGCUGGAGAAAGUCCUUCAGCAGGGAGAUAUUGGUGAAUGCUGUGAGCCGUACAUGGUCAUGAAGGAGUCCGACUCCAUUAAGCAUAAAGAGAAGCUGGAGAAGUUGAGGGCUCAGGCCGAGCAGAUGUGCUCCAGGCUGGGUGGAUUUCGCAUGCCCUUUGCCUGGACUGCAAUUCAUUUACUGAACAUUGUCAGCAGCGUUGGAGGCCUGGACCGCUCCGAUUCAGACUCAGACACGGAGCGAAAGGGGACGUGGAAUGAGAGGAAGAAGAAGGGAUUUGAAAGGAUGAGUGUAGGAGAGGACAUGUGCAACUUCACGAACUUCCGUCCGGCCACUCUCACAGUCACCAACUUUUUUAAACAGGAAGGGGACAGACUGAGUGAUGAAGACUUAUAUAAGUUUCUGGCAGACAUGAGGAGGCCGUCAUCAGUGCUGCGUCGACUCAGGCCUGUGACAGCUCAGCUAAAGAUAGACAUCUCUCCGGCUCCUGAGGCCCCACACUACUGUCUGUCUCCAGAGCUGCUUCAUGUCAAGCCUUACCCCGAUCCCCGUGUGCGUCCCACUAAAGAAGUGCUGGAGUUUCCCGCUCGCUACGUCUACACCCCUCACACUACAUACAGGAACUUGCUGUACGUUUACCCUCAGUCCGUGAACUUCAGCAGCCGGCAGGGUUCGGUGAGGAACAUUGCUGUGAAGGUGCAGUUCAUGGCAGGAGAGGAUCCCAGUCAGGCCAUGCCGGUCAUUUUUGGAAAGUCAAGCUGUGCAGAGUUUUAUAAGGAGGCGUACACUCCAGUCAUCUACCAUAACAAGUCCCCCGAGUUCUAUGAGGAGGUGAAGAUGAAGAUCCCCGCCAACCUCACAGACAACCACCACCUGCUCUUCACCUUCUAUCACAUCAGCUGCCAGCCUAAGCAGAACACCCUUCUGGAGACGCCCGUGGGCUACACGUGGAUCCCCCUCAUGCAGCAUGGCCGUCUGCGCUCCGGCUCCUUCAGUCUCCCUGUGUCUGUGGAGAAACCUCCACCCAGCUACUCUGUCCUCACUCCUGACGUCCAGCUACCAGGGAUGAAAUGGGUGGACAAUCAUAAAGGGGUCUUUAAUGUUGAGGUGAAGGCAGCCUCAUCUGUUCACACACAGGAUCCGCACCUGGACAAGUUCUUCACGCUGGUAUAUGUUCUGGAAGAGUACUCUUUCCCCUUUCGUCUGAAGGACGUGAUCAUCACAGAGUCCAACGUGGAGGCGGAGCUGAAGGCCAGCAUGGCGGCUCUGAAGGGGGCGCUGCUGGACACCUGUGUUCGCUUUUUGCAUCAGCUGAUGAGCAAACUCAUAUUACUGAUCGUACACCCACCUGUCAUAGCAGGACAGAUCGUAAAUCUCGGCCGUGCUGCGUUUGAAGCCAUGGCCCUGUUGGUAAACCAGAUCCAUAAGAAUUUGGAAGGAAACCAGGACCAUCACGGCCGCAACAAUCUGCUGUCCUCCUACAUCCACUACUGCUUCCAUCUGCCCACAACAGAGCCUGUGUCUCCCCCUGCAGUGGGAGCUGCAGCAUAUGAUCUGCCCAUCCACUAUGCCACGCUUUCUAGGGCCACAUCAAGACCCAGUGCCCUGCUGCUGUCCCGCUCUAAGAGCAUUAGUAACUCUAACCCUGACCUGGCCUCUACCCCCGCCACUCCUGAUGAGGAGGUGCAGAGGAUCAUCGGCAGCAAGGGAAUAGACCGCUCUCAUUCCUGGGUAAACUCUGCUUACGCUCCAGGGGGCUCGAGGGCCGUGCUCCGCCGGAACCCCAACUCGAGCUGUGAGCUCAAGCAGGCCAGUGAGCGAGCCUGUAAUCGCAUGUCCGCCUACAUCGAGACUACCUCCCUUCUCUGUCCUCCCUCCAGGCAGAUCGCCAAGAAGCUGCUUCAUGAAGAGUUGGCUCUGCAGUGGGUCGUGAGCACCAGCACCGUAAGGGAGGCGUCUCUGCAGCAGGCCUGGUUCUUCUUCCAGCUCAUGGUGAAGAGCAUGUCCCAUCAUCUGUUCCUGUCCUCACGCCUGGACAUGCCCCGACGCCAGCGCUUUCCAGACCGCUUUGUGGAUGACAUUGCAGCCUUAGUGUGUGCCAUCAGCGCAGACAUAGCCAGCAGAUAUCACAAGGAUGUGGAGCUUGUGGAGAGGUUAAACAGCAGUUUGGCCUUUUUCCUUAAUGACCUGCUCUCUCUCAUGGAUAGAGGCUUUGUUUUCAACCUUGUUCGCUCUUAUUAUAAACAGAUUAAUAAUAAGCUGCACACAGCGCAGAAUCCCAGCUCUCUAACAGCGCUGAGGAUGGACUUCAUCCGGAUCAUCUGCAGUCACGAGCACUACGUCAUCCUCAACCUACCCUGCGCCACUCUUAGUCCUCCAGCAUCCCCUUCACCCUCCACAUCUUCCACCACCUCACAGAGCUCUGCAUUCUCCAGUCAUGCUCAGGAUCAAGGUGUGGUCAGCAUGUUUGAGCUGUCAGUGCCAUUUCGCCAGCAGCACUUUCUCUCAGGCCUGCUGUUAGCUGAACUGUCACUCAUCCUGGAGCCGGAUGGAGAGAGUGUGUUCUUUCUCCAUAAGAAGGCCAUCAGUGCGCUUCACUCUCUGCUAUGCAGUCACGAUGCAGACCCCAGAUACACAGACCCUCAGGUUCGCUCGCACGUGGCCCAGCUCUACCUGCCCCUCAUCCCCAUCAUCAUGGAGACGCUGCCUAAGCUCCACGACUUCACCGACACGUCUCCACAGCGGGUGCGUCACGCCUCGGCGCUCGCCGAUGAUAACGACCCAGACAACGGCACCAUUAGCCAGUCUGUUGCCAUGGCAAUCGCUGGCUCACCGCUGCCCCACUCCAAAGCCAAUCCCUUCACUCUGCCAUCAGUGGCUGGCCGCCAGUGUGGUGUCCUCUCAGCGGAGUGCAGCAGGACGCUGCUGGUGUGUUUUCUGUGGGUCUGGAAGAACGCUGAUGCAGGGCUGCUGGAGCGAUGGGUUUCAGACCUGUCUGUGCCACAGAUCAACCGUCUGCUGGAUCUGCUCCACCUCUGUCUGUCCUGUUUCGAAUACAAGGGAAAGAAAGCUCUGGAGAGAAUCAACAGCCUGACCUUUAAGAAGUCUCAGGACAUGAAGGCCCGUCUUGAGGAGGCCAUACUGGGCACUAUUGGAGCAAGACAAGAGAUGGUCCGCCGCUGCAGAGAGCGCAGUCCAUAUGGAGGACAGGAAAAUGUGCGCUGGAGGAAGAACGUCACUCACUGGAGGCAGAAUGCAGACAGAGUGGACAAAACGAAGGCAGAGGUGGAGCAGGAGUCGGUGGUGGAUGGAAACUUGGCGACUGAAGCGGCUCUCAUAGCCCUCGACACACUGGAGAUCAUUGUCAAAACGGUGGUGAUGUCCGAGCUGAAGGAGAGUGUUCUGGGUGGAGUGUUGAGGGUCCUCCUUCACAGUAUGGCAGGAAACCAGAGCGCCCUCUUCCUGCAGCACUGCUUCAGUACACAGAGAGCUUUAGUCUACAAGUUUCCAGAGAUGUUGUUUGAAGAGGACACUGAGCUCUGUGCAGAUCUGUGUUUGCGGUUACUGCGUCACUGCAGCAGCAGCGUGAGCUCUGUCCGCAGCCAUGCCAGCGCCUCGCUCUACCUUCUCAUGAGACAGAACUUCGAGAUCGGAAACAACUUUGCCCGUGUAAAGAUGCAGGUCACCAUGUCUCUGUCUUCACUCGUGGGAACCUCUCAAACGUUUAAUGAAGAACAUUUGCGACGCUCCUUGAAAACAAUUCUUACGUAUGCAGAGGAUGACCUAGAGCUCAGAGAUUCCCCCUUCCCUGAGCAGGUCCAGGAUCUGGUCUUCAAUCUCCACAUGAUCCUCACUGACACUGUGAAAAUGAAGGAGCACCAACAGGACCCAGAGAUGCUCAUAGACCUCAUGUACAGGAUUGCUAAAGGCUAUCAGAACUCUCCAGACCUGAGACUGACUUGGUUGCAGAACAUGGCAGGGAAGCACUCAGAAAAAGGCAAUCAUGCAGAGGCAGCUCACUGUCUUGUGCACAGCGCCGCCCUGGUGGCCGAGUACCUCAACAUGCUUGAAGACUGCCGCUACCUCCCUAUCGGCUGUGUCUCCUUCCAGAGCAUUUCAUCGAAUGUUCUGGAGGAGUCUGCGGUGUCUGAUGACAUCCUUUCCCCGGAGGAGGAGGGCAUCUGUUCAGGAAAGUACUUCAGUGAGUCUGGCCUCGUGGGACUGCUGGAGCAGGCAGCUGCCUCUUUCAACAUGGCUGCAAUGUACGAGGCCAUAAACGAGGUUUAUAAGAUCCUCUGUCCCAUUCAUGAGGCCAACAGAGACUUUAAGAAGCUGGCCUCGGUGCACGGCAAACUGCAGGACGCAUUUAACAAAGUGUACAAUCAGAGCUCAGGAUGGGAGAGGAUGUUUGGCACCUACUUUCGUGUGGGCUUCUAUGGGUGCCGCUUUGGAGAUCUGGAUGAGCAGGAGUUCGUCUAUAAAGAGCCAUCUAUUACUAAACUGGCCGAAAUCUCACAUAGACUUGAGGAGUUUUACUCUGAAAGAUUUGGUGAUGAAGUGGUGGCGAUUAUCAAAGACUCCAACCCUGUUGACAAGAACAAACUGGACCCCAAUAAGGCCUAUCUUCAGAUCACUUACGUGGAGCCUUUCUUCGACACCUACGAGCUGAAGGAGCGCAUCACAUACUUUGACAAGAACUACAACCUACGCACCUUCAUGUACUGCACGCCAUUCACGCUGGAUGGCCGGGCUCACGGAGACCUUCAUGAGCAGUACAAGCGCAAAACCAUCCUCACCACUUCACAUGCUUUUCCCUACAUCAAGACCCGCAUCAACGUCAUCCACAAAGAGGAGAUUAUCCUGAUGCCAAUGGAGGUGGCCAUCGAGGACAUGCAGAAGAAAACUCAAGAACUGGCCUUCGCCACCCAUCAGGACCCUGCAGACCCAAAGAUGCUUCAGAUGGUGCUGCAGGGUUGUGUCGGCACCACUGUGAAUCAGGGUCCACUGGAAGUGGCUCAGGUGUUCCUGUCUGAAAUCCCAGAAGACCCCAAACUCUUCCGGCAUCACAAUAAACUGCGACUCUGCUUCAAGGACUUUACUAAAAGGUGUGAAGAUGCUCUGAGGAAGAACAAGUCUCUGAUCGGCCCGGAUCAGAAAGAGUACCAUCGAGAGCUAGAGAGGAACUACCUCAAGCUGAAAGAGGCUCUGUUUCCCCUCAUCAACCGCAAGAUCCCGCAACUCUACAGACCUCUGCCUCUGCCCACCCUGCCAACACAGAGGAAUUCUCUCAGUCGCUCCAGUUUUCGGAGGCUGGAGUGUUGAGGUGUGGCCGAUCUGGACGCAAAACCGCACAUGAUCUCCAUCUCCAUCAUCAAACCAACACAAAAAAACCACACGUCACAUUCCUGCGUCAGACACGAGCCCUCCUGAGCCUCCGUCUGUUUACACUCAGCUUUAUCUGCUGUAAACACGCUCGUUAUGAGCAUCAGCAGACAAAACUGUAGCUUCUUGCUCAACACUGGAGGUAAUUCUAGCAUUUCACCGACACAGGGCGUUAAGAUGCUCCUCCACACUUCCUGCUUUUGUUUGUUUGUGCUCGUCUGUCUUGUCUUGUGUGAGAAAGAGGGCAAACGAAGUCCGUCCAGACGUUCCUGUGAAUGUUCUGCCACAUAAAAAAAAAACCCUUGCACUGCUGUUUGAUUUAUGACUGGAUUAAAGCGUUUGUGUCUUUUUAAAGACAGAUCGCUGAGCCUAGAGACUCAGGUUUAAUCUUCCGUUUCAUUUGUAGAAAUUGUUUUUUAGAGCAGUUCUGCAGAGAAACACUGGGCUGAUUUCACGAGUUUAGAGGAUGAGUUAAAAGUUUGGUGUCAGUGUGAUUUGUUUUGGGGCUUUUAAAAGAAGUCUACUCUGCUCACCAAGGCUGUGUUUAUUUCCUCACAAAUGCAGUAACAAAACUGAAAUAUUAUACAAAUAUUAAAUUAACGCUUUCUUAUUUAUUGUGACUUAAGGCUAAUUAACUAGCUAUUAGUUCUAUUACUCCAGUGUUAAGUGUUUCAUGACCCUUGAGAAAUCAGUCUAAUGUGAUAAUAAAAAAGAAAAAUGUAUUAUUAUUAUUAAUAAUACAUUAGUAUUAUUAUAUAUAUAUUAUUAGUAUUAUUAUAUAUAUAUAUUGUUAUUUUUAAAACUUUCUAAACGUAUAAAUAAGGCAAAUGAAAUGUAAUGUGAAAUACAAAAACUAAAAUGUAUCAAGGUUUCCACAAAUACUAUGAAACAAAAAUGUAUACAGUACAUUGAGGAUUGUAAGGAUCACUGUUAAUGUUUGAGUAUCGCUAAUAAUUGAACAUCAAAUCAUCACAUCAUUGUGAUUUCUGAAGGAUCAAGUUAAACACUUGUGACUGGAGUAAUGAGGCAAAAAAAUGAGUAAAAAAAAGUAAUGAGUAAAAAAAAAUAUGUUUAAGCUACAUUCAAAAAAGAAACCAGUUACUUUAAAAUGUAGUCAUUUUUGACUAUUUAAAGUGUUUUCCAGUAUUUAUGAUCAAAUAAAUGCAGUCUUGGGUAAUAAACAUGCUUUAAGAAAACAUCAAAAGAAAGCUGACUGAUCUUAAACGUUUGACAGAUGAAUUUUUUGGACGUGUAUCCAUUUAGAAGGCAUUAUUCACUGUAGUAAAUAACUGGAAAACAUCCCACAUCGCACUAACGAAUAUAGCACACUAACAUUUCUGCACUGACUGACAUGAGUUUUCACCAAAUCCAACUUUCAGGCAUAUUUUACUGUUCAUGUUUUUGUAAAUGCACAGCGAUGUGACAUAUACUAUACACUAAAUGCACAAGUAUGUGAACUGGAGUUAAAUACUGCCAUUUUUUGUUUAAAUUAAAUAGUCUUUGAAUGUAGGAUCCUGUCCUGAAUUAGCAAACUUAGCACCUAGUUGACUGCUGUAAUAUCCGUCCUGCACUACUUUAAUGUUUGUAUGACCUCUCUACUGCCUGUCUCCACACUAUACUGUGCAGUUUGCUGACCUAAAUACUGUAUUUUUAAUAACCAAAUUGUUUUUUUAUUUAUUUGUAUCUUUGUCUUUUUUUCAUUACCAGUUUUACUUUUUAUAUUAAAAGAAAUUUCUCCUAAAUAUUUCUA